This 527-nucleotide ribosomal RNA is filed under the name Bifidobacterium bifidum. Its description in RNAcentral is "bacterial SSU rRNA". It matches the Rfam family "Bacterial small subunit ribosomal RNA", at positions 161 to 700 of the family's 1533-position model. Lineage: Bacteria; Bacillati; Actinomycetota; Actinomycetes; Bifidobacteriales; Bifidobacteriaceae. The record is from RNAcentral.
UGGUAAUGCCGGAUGUUCCACAUGAUCGCAUGUGAUUGUGGGAAAGAUUCUAUCGGCGUGGGAUGGGGUCGCGUCCUAUCAGCUUGUUGGUGAGGUAACGGCUCACCAAGGCUUCGACGGGUAGCCGGCCUGAGAGGGCGACCGGCCACAUUGGGACUGAGAUACGGCCCAGACUCCUACGGGAGGCAGCAGUGGGGAAUAUUGCACAAUGGGCGCAAGCCUGAUGCAGCGACGCCGCGUGAGGGAUGGAGGCCUUCGGGUUGUAAACCUCUUUUGUUUGGGAGCAAGCCUUCGGGUGAGUGUACCUUUCGAAUAAGCGCCGGCUAACUACGUGCCAGCAGCCGCGGUAAUACGUAGGGCGCAAGCGUUAUCCGGAUUUAUUGGGCGUAAAGGGCUCGUAGGCGGCUCGUCGCGUCCGGUGUGAAAGUCCAUCGCUUAACGGUGGAUCUGCGCCGGGUACGGGCGGGCUGGAGUGCGGUAGGGGAGACUGGAAUUCCCGGUGUAACGGUGGAAUGUGUAGAUAUCGA